GCGUCAAUAGCGCAGCGAGCUAAAGCGCGCGCUUCCGCUUAGAGCGGGAUGCGGGUUCAAAACCCCGCUUGACGCG
Non-coding RNA from Parelaphostrongylus tenuis, 76 nucleotides. The record is from the annotation of a GenBank genome assembly. NCBI's taxonomy places the organism in Eukaryota, Metazoa, Nematoda, Chromadorea, Rhabditida, Metastrongylidae.